Molecule: ribosomal RNA, 252 nt
Filed under: uncultured bacterium
Lineage: Bacteria
Description: partial 16S ribosomal RNA
Rfam family: Bacterial small subunit ribosomal RNA
Source: RNAcentral
UACGUAGGGGACGAGCGUUGUCCGGAAUUACUGGGCGUAAAGGGCGCGCAGGCGGAUAUUUAAGUCAGCUGUUAAAGUCAUGGGCUCAACUCAUGGAUGCGGUUGAAACUGGAUAUCUCGAGUGCUGGAGAGGUAGGCGGAAUUCCCGGUGUAGCGGUGAAAUGCGUAGAUAUCGGGAAGAACACCAGUGGCGAAGGCGGCUUACUGGCCAGCAACUGACGCUGAGGCGCGAAAGCCAGGGGAGCGAACGGG